Molecule: ribosomal RNA, 321 nt
Filed under: uncultured eukaryote
Lineage: Eukaryota
Description: partial 18S ribosomal RNA
Rfam family: Eukaryotic small subunit ribosomal RNA
Source: RNAcentral
CCCUUAGAUGUUCUGGGCCGCACGCGCGCCACACUGAUGCAUUCAACGAGCCUAUCCUUGACCGACAGGUCCGGGUAAUCUUUGAAUCUGCAUCGUGACGGGGAUAGAUUAUUGCAAUUAUUAGUCUUGAACGAGGAAUUCCUAGUAAGCACAAGUCAUCAGCUUGUGUUGAUUACGUCCCUGCCCUUUGUACACACCGCCCGUCGCUCCUACCGAUUGAAUGUUCCGGUGAGCUCUUCGGACUGCGCGGUCUGCAGUUUCUGCGUUCCGUGCGGAAAGUUGCGCAAACCUUAACAUUUAGAGGAAGGAGAAGUCGUAACA